This 483-nucleotide ribosomal RNA is filed under the name uncultured bacterium. Its description in RNAcentral is "SSU rRNA". It matches the Rfam family "Bacterial small subunit ribosomal RNA", at positions 26 to 518 of the family's 1533-position model. The record is from RNAcentral.
AGGAUAAACGCUGGCGGCGUGCCUAACACAUGCAAGUCGAACGCGCUUGCUAUCCGCGAGGAGGGUGAGCGGAGUGGCGGACGGGUGAGGAACACGUGGGUGACCUACCUUUCAGUGAGGGAUACCGGCGAGAAAUUGCCGACAAGACCGCAUACGCUUCUCUUUUCAAGGGGAGAAGGAAAGCUUUUCGCAAGAGAGGCGCUGGGAGAUGGGCCUGCGGCCGAUUAGCUAGCUGGUGGGGUAAUGGCCUACCAGGGCGACGAUCGGUAGCUGGUCUGAGAGGACGAUCAGCCACACUGGGAUUGAGAACGGCCCAGACUCCUACGGGGGGCAGCAGUGAGGAAUUUUCGGCAAUGGGGGCAACCCUGACCGAGCAACGCCGCGUGCAGGACGACGGCCUUCGGGUUGUAAACUGCUUUUCUCUGGGACGAGCAAGGACGGUACCAGAGGAAGAAGCCCGGCUAACUACGUGCCAGCAGCCGC